GAUGAAGAACGUAGCGAAAUGCGAUAAUUAAUGUGAAUUGCAGAAUUCAGUGAAUCAUCGAAUCUUUGAACGCACAUUGCACCUCUCGGUAUUCCGGGAGGUAUGCCUGUUCGAGCGUCAUUUGUACCCUCAAGCUCUGCUUGGUGUUGGGUGUUUGUUCCGCCUCUGUGUGUGAACUCGCCUCAAAACAAUUGGCAGCCGGCGUACUUGUUUCGGAGCGCAGCACAUUUUGCGAUCCAGAUCAACGUACAGCGGCAUCCAAGAAGCCUUAUUUAACGCUCUUGACCUCGGAUCAGGUAGGGAUACCCGCUGAACUUAAGCAUAUCAAUAAGCGGAGGA
Molecule: unclassified non-coding RNA, 339 nt
Filed under: soil metagenome
Description: partial contains 5.8S ribosomal RNA, internal transcribed spacer 2, and large subunit ribosomal RNA
Rfam family: 5.8S ribosomal RNA (bases 1-120)
Source: RNAcentral